RNAcentral lists this ribosomal RNA (372 nucleotides) under uncultured bacterium. Its description in RNAcentral is "bacterial SSU rRNA". It matches the Rfam family "Bacterial small subunit ribosomal RNA", at positions 527 to 896 of the family's 1533-position model. The record is from RNAcentral.
GUAGGGGGCGAGCGUUGUCCGGAAUUAUUGGGCGUAAAGAGCGUGUAGGCGGCCCCGUAAGUCGAAUGUGAAAGCCCGGAGCUCAACUCCGGAACUGCAUCCGAUACUGCUGGGCUUGAGGCAGGUAGAGGAGAGUGGAAUUCCCGGUGUAGCGGUGGAAUGCGCAGAUAUCGGGAGGAACACCAGCGGCGAAGGCGGCUCUCUGGACCUCGCCUGACGCUGAGACGCGAAAGCGUGGGUAGCGAACAGGAUUAGAUACCCUGGUAGUCCACGCUGUAAACGGUGGGUGCUAGGUGUGGGGGCCAGUUCACGGCCUCCGUGUCGAAGCUAACGCGUUAAGUUCUCCGCCUGGGGACUACGGCCGCAAGGCUA